Molecule: ribosomal RNA, 253 nt
Filed under: uncultured bacterium
Lineage: Bacteria
Description: partial 16S ribosomal RNA
Rfam family: Bacterial small subunit ribosomal RNA
Source: RNAcentral
UACGUAGGGUGCGAGCGUUGUCCGGAAUUAUUGGGCGUAAAGGGCUCGUAGGCGGUUUGUCGCGUCGGGAGUGAAAACACCGGGCUUAACUCGGUGCUGGCUUUCGAUACGGGCAGACUAGAGGUAGGUAGGGGAGAAUGGAAUUCCCGGUGUAGCGGUGAAAUGCGCAGAUAUCAGGAGGAACACCAAUGGCGAAGGCAGCUCGCUGGGACGGUACUGACGCUGAGACGCGAAAGCGUGGGGAGCGAACAGG